GCACGCCCGUCUAAAUUUGCAUGUCGCUAAGUGUUGUGGGAAGUCACCCUAACCGUAAAAGGCCUUCAGUGAUUUCAGAGAACCCUACAAUCAUCCUUCUGGAAUUCCAAAAUGAUCCCCUGCACCUUUCAUUGGAGAAGAAAAUUUGCAAAGUAACCUUGCUAGUGCUAAAGUAGAACAGCAUGGGGAUUGAACACACAACCUUGACGUAUCCAGCUGACACUAUGUAACCAACUGAACUACUCAGUCUGAGGCUCAGCUUUUGAGGAUCAAAAUAUAUGAAGGCCAGGCAUUAGUUGGUGUAUAAUUAAUGGUUAAAAAUGGGAUCCACUGGAGAAGAAAGACCUGGGUCUUCAGCACUCUGUGUGCUAGCCCAGAAGUGUUAUUUGAAAGCCUGUUACAUCUGCUGUAGACCCCCUAAACAAGUAGACUUGGAUUUGGACAUUCUCAGCAGGAAUGGUUAUAAGCUGAUAGGACCAUAAAGAGAUGAUGCCUGAUAGUUGAUAGAUCCUGUAGUUCAACUUUAUCCUAGAUAGAAGCUGGAUUCAUCUGACAUCAGAGAAAUGAAAUUUCAGGAGACCAAAACUAGAUCUGAGUUUCUUUAUAGAAACUUCUUUCCCAGCCUUGAAACUCUUGGAUGCUAUGAAUUCUAGAUAUACAAUAGAUGACGACAACAUUUUUCUUUUAUGUAUGAAGGUGUAGAUGGAAGCUGACUUCUCACCAAAAGUGGUUUAUAGAAUCAACUUAAAAACAUGAGGCAGCAAACAAAGGAAAGAGUAAUAUAUUUCUUUUAUCAUCCUUAGGUACUUUGCUAGAUUGCAAACUCCAUGAAAGCAGGAUAACUUCCCUAUCCUUAACACCUGGCCUAGAAUAAAUA
This is a long non-coding RNA of Eptesicus fuscus (big brown bat), 877 nucleotides long. RefSeq lists it as uncharacterized. Lineage: Eukaryota; Metazoa; Chordata; Mammalia; Chiroptera; Vespertilionidae. The transcript has 7 exons. The record is from RefSeq and is a predicted model, not a curated record.